This 240-nucleotide ribosomal RNA is filed under the name uncultured bacterium. RNAcentral's name for it is "partial 16S ribosomal RNA". It matches the Rfam family "Bacterial small subunit ribosomal RNA", at positions 524 to 763 of the family's 1533-position model. The record is from RNAcentral.
UACAGACGGGUGCAAGCGUUGUUCGGAAUUAUUGGGCGUAAAGCGCGUGUAGGCGGCUUUGCAAAGUCGGGUGUGAAAGCCCUCAGCUCAACUGAGGAAGUGCGCCCGAAACUGCAGAGCUUGAGUGCCGGAGAGGGUGGCGGAAUUCCCCAAGUAGAGGUGAAAUUCGUAGAUAUGGGGAGGAACACCGGUGGCGAAGGCGGCCACCUGGACGGUAACUGACGCGUGAGAAGCGGCGAA